Molecule: ribosomal RNA, 496 nt
Filed under: uncultured bacterium
Lineage: Bacteria
Description: partial 16S ribosomal RNA
Rfam family: Bacterial small subunit ribosomal RNA
Source: RNAcentral
GAUGAACGCUGGCGGCGUGCCUAAUACAUGCAAGUCGAGCGAACAGACGAGGAGCUUGCUCCUCUGACGUUAGCGGCGGACGGGUGAGUAACACGUGGAUAACCUACCUAUAAGACUGGGAUAACUUCGGGAAACCGGAGCUAAUACCGGAUAGUAUAUUGAACCGCAUGGUUCAAUAGUGAAAGACGGUUUUGCUGUCACUUAUAGAUGGAUCCGCGCCGCAUUAGCUAGUUGGUAAGGUAACGGCUUACCAAGGCAACGAUGCGUAGCCGACCUGAGAGGGGGAACGGCCACAAUGGAACGGAGACCGGGACCAACCUCCUAGGGGAGGCAGCAGGAGGGAAUUUUCCGCAAGGGGCGAAAGCCUAAGGGAACAACGCCGGGGAGGGGAAGAAGGUCUUCGGAUUGAAAAACCCUUUUUUUAGGAAAAAAAAAAGGGGAAAGUAACUAAGCCGGUUUGAAGGGGACCAAACAAAAAAGCCACGGCAAACUAAGU